Oryzias melastigma (Indian medaka) is the source of this 1992-nucleotide long non-coding RNA. RefSeq lists it as uncharacterized. Lineage: Eukaryota; Metazoa; Chordata; Actinopteri; Beloniformes; Adrianichthyidae. The transcript has 3 exons. The record is from RefSeq and is a predicted model, not a curated record.
UGGCUGAGCUGACUUUCACACUACUGGGUUUACACUCAGAAAAACACACUCCACACACAGGAAGUGUGCCAUACAGAAGGUAAUGCAGUCAGAAAUGGAUGUUUUCCAUUAUUUCAAGACAAACGAUUUUAGCCCCUUUAAAAGUUAUACAACAUUCACUGGCAACUCCUAAAAACAGGUAGAACAGUGUCAAAAUUUGGGCAAUAAUAAAAGAAAAUGUUGUUUAAGGAAAUUGGUUUUAUGUGAUAAAUUGGUGAAGUGCAACCAAAGUCAUAAAUACUCUAAAAUUAAUAUUUAAAACAUGUUAUUUGACUUAACCCAAAAAAAUCUGCUUUACCCACAGUUAAAAAUGAGAAAAUAAUAAGAAUGUAACAUUCAUCCUCUAAAGAAUCACAAGGAAAAACAUACAUUUUUCCAUUUUCUGCCCAUUGGUAGCACUCUUAUGCAAUCGCUCUCUCAGCCCAACAGUUGAAGAAGUUGGUCUACUUCAGCAUUUUCUUUAGCUGAUUAAAUUCAAACACGCUCUACGCUGUGGUCCACUUCAAAAUAGGUUUAAAACAUAACUGGCUUUUUUUUUAAAAACUCCAGUUUGUUGACCAGUUUGUGUGCGGAUCUAGAGCUGAAGGUCGAGGCAAUGAAUCACUGUCAGUGAACAGAAUCCAGCUGUAUAGUUUUCCUCGUGUAAGAGAGCAGAGUGGAAAUCCAGUCUUUUGAUAACUGAUUUCUCCUGAAAGCAAACUGGUGUCGGCCAGAAGAGGGUAAGAUGGAGUUCUCGUGUAACAAGAUAAGUAGCACAAAAAAAAAAAAAGUUCAGUUAACAGUGUGAAGGCCAUGUCCCACAGCCACUACUUAAAUAAUGCAUAAUGCACAGAUGAAGGUGAAGUUUUGGGACAACAUGACAAUGAAAAUAUUCUACUUUUCUUAUAAAAAGUUACCUAUAUAUGUAACAGUCAGAGGCAGGGAAGAACCACAAAGUCCCAAGAAUUCACUAACAAAAUACAUAAUUAUUGGUUCAUUUCUGCAGAGAACCAAGUAUGACAACAGGCUGAGCCAACACUGAAGACUGAGGGAUAGUCACCUUAAUUCUGUGUGGAUAAUUAGUAAAGUACAGGCAGCUGUGACUGCUCCACAGGAUUCACAUGUGAGUGGGCGGAGUCACAGUCAGUCUGCACAGAAACCUAAGAAAAGACAAAUCCUGAACAAUAUUUAUCUCGGCCUCCAGAGGGGAAACCUUCCGGCGGGCUUCGUCCUCCUGCUUUCUCUGUCGGAUCAGCUGUUCUCUCUUCCGGGACUCCAGAACUCUCUGCAGCUCUGGCUUCGUCUCCACACUCGCCCCACUUCUGCACAAACACACACAUUGUGUAAUCAGGUGGGGGGAUCCCGCCGGAGAGCGGAGCCCCCCUCCGCUGGAGGCUCUCUGAGCGGUGCUGCUGCAGCUCUGCAUGUGCCGAGGCUGAGGACAGGAGGACAGAAGACAGAGCCAUGAAGAUGUCAAGAAUCUGAGAUGAAACUUCCUUCUCCUUAAACAUUCGCUCUCUAAAUCCAGGUCUUCAGCACACACUGUUCCAUGUGUUUUCUAACCAAUCCUGCCUAAACACAGCUAUGACUAUUAUCAUAAAGCCUCUACAAAGGUCGAUGAUGAUCUUAAUGAUGUGUGUCUGAGCUCUGGAAACAUGCAGGACAGUGAGCAUUGGGAAACACUGCCAGAGGACAGAUUAUUGGCUAUGUGAUCUUCUCCCUCAGAUAUUCUGGGAGGCAGAUCGAAUGUCUCAAGUCAUUUUCACACAAUAACUCCUUUCCUCUGUGGUGCAACCAGAGACCCACAUACACGCCUGCGUCAUAUUUCGGAAAAAUGAAAUGAGCUGCUGCAGGACUUAACUGCUUUGUUCGGAGGUCAGUCAUGCUAAAAGGAUUUAGGCCUUAUUGCAAUUUUUAUAAUCACACACAAAAACAACUUCUCUAAAUUAUAUUACGGGGGAAAGUUGACCCAAU